AUGCUUACCUGGCAGGGGAGAUACCAUGAUCGGGAAGGUGGUUUUCCCGGGGCGAGGCUUACAUUGCACUCCGGAUGUGCUGACCCCUGCCGAUUUCCCCAAAUGUGGGAAACUCGACUGCAUAGUUUGUGGUAGCGGGGGACUGCGUUUACGCUCUCCCCUG
This is a small nuclear RNA of Saimiri boliviensis boliviensis (Bolivian squirrel monkey), 163 nucleotides long. Its record names the gene U1. It matches the Rfam family "U1 spliceosomal RNA". Rfam says of the family: U1 is a small nuclear RNA (snRNA) component of the spliceosome (involved in pre-mRNA splicing). Its 5' end forms complementary base pairs with the 5' splice junction, thus defining the 5' donor site of an intron. The record is from Ensembl. Lineage: Eukaryota; Metazoa; Chordata; Mammalia; Primates; Cebidae.